RNAcentral lists this unclassified non-coding RNA (710 nucleotides) under Hevea brasiliensis (rubber tree). The record is from RNAcentral. Lineage: Eukaryota; Viridiplantae; Streptophyta; Magnoliopsida; Malpighiales; Euphorbiaceae.
CCUAUAGUGGCGGUUCUUUUACAAUUUCCAUUCAAUUCAAUACAAGUCAUUAAUUCGAUUUAGAACACUCAAGAAUCAUACAUAACCCUAUCUGCCUAGUGAAAGAAGUUAGCCUAACAAAAUUUUUCCUUUAAGUGUUUAUAAAGGUAAAAAAAAAAUAAAGCCACGAUAAAGUCAAAACUAAAUUAAACAUAUUCAUAUAUAACAGGAGACACCAUUUACAUUCCAAGCAGUAAAAGUAACAGCCCAUAAGUAUGUUGACUUACUUCUUCAGCAACUCCCUAAGCUUUUUAAUCAAUUGUUGAGCCCCAAAAUAAAAGCCAAUGAAGAAGAUACCCAACCAAAAAACUCCGCCAGUCGUCCACGAGAAAAGUUUUAUUUCAUCUGUCAAGUUGAUAUCAUUGUUGUUGCCGUCCUUAUCAUCACCACUGUCAUCGUCAUCUUUCCGAAAGUCAUUUGAAAGGACAUCACCAUCAUUAUUUGGAAAAAAUAAAUUCCAUGUUACCCUUGUGAUCGAAUAAAAUAAGAAGAGGAAGAAGAUCAAUCCGAUGACGCAAAUAACAAUCCCAAAGGAGUGGGAUAAAAAUGCAUAGGUGCCUGCCACAAAUGUAAUCAUCAUUGCUACCAUAGCAUAGAAGAGAAAGCACAUCUUAUUAACCAAUAGUAUCUUUUCAGAUAUCCCACGGCCACCAGCAUAAGGUGAAUAAAGA